GGCCAGGCUGAUUUGACUGACUGUGUGAGUGUCCCCUUCCUUCUUCACUCUCCCACAUGUGCUUCUCCCGAAGCUACACUUUAGUUGGAGUGUAUGAUGUCCCCAAUGGAGAACUGUUUGUUCCUAAGCCAAGGAUGUGCCUUCUAGUACUUUCAAAGAAGAUUUCUUGGUAAACCUCCAAGAACUCAGGAAACGUGUGGCAAGUAGGCAGGGUCACAGAGUGAGUCGCCAUGUCCCUAGGAUCAGAGGCUGCUUUCCCU
Molecule: small nuclear RNA, 260 nt
Filed under: Mus pahari (shrew mouse)
Lineage: Eukaryota; Metazoa; Chordata; Mammalia; Rodentia; Muridae
Description: sRNA (MGP_PahariEiJ_G0008047.1)
Rfam family: 7SK RNA
About the family: 7SK was discovered as an abundant small nuclear RNA in the mid-70s but a possible function has only recently been suggested. Two independent studies have found that 7SK RNA binds the CDK9/cyclin T complex (known as elongation factor P-TEFb). P-TEFb activates transcription by phosphorylating the C-terminal domain of RNA polymerase II.
Source: RNAcentral